GGGGGGACCACCCUCCAAGGCUGAACACUCUCCUGUGACCGAUAGCGAACCAGUACCGUGAGGGAAAGGUGAAAAGCACCCCGAGAGGGGAGUGAAACAGUACCUGAAACCGUGCGCCUACAAGCAGUCGGAGCCCCCGAGCGGGGUGACGGCGUGCCUUUUGUAGAAUGAGCCAGCGAGUUGCGGUAUGCGGCGAGGUUAAGGUUUGAACCGAGCCGCAGUGAAAGCGAGCCUUUAAGAUGGCGAUAGAGUCGCAUGCUGCAGACGCGAAGCCGGGUGAGCUAUCCAUGGGCAGGCUGAAGCGGGGGUAAGACCCCGUGGAGGGCCGAACCCACUUCGGUUGAAAACGGAGGGGAUGACCCGUGGAUAGGGGUGAAAGGCCAAUCAAACCCGGAGAUAUCUCGUUCUCCCCGAAAUAGCUUUAGGGCUAGCCUCGGCCGUUCUCCGACGGCGGUAGAGCACUGGAUCGUCGAGGGGGCUUCACCGCCUACCGACACGAACCAAACUCCGAAUGCCGCCGGAUCAGAGGCCGGGAGUCAGAACAUGUGGGCUAAGCUGUGUGUUCGAGAGGGAAACAGCCCAGACCGCCCGCUAAGGUCCCCAAGUUUAUGCUGAGUGGCAAAGGAUGUGCGUUUGCCUAGACAACCAGGAUGUUGGCUUAGAAGCAGCCAUGCAUUUAAAGAGUGCGUAACAGCUCACUGGUCGAGUGGACAUGCGCCGACAAUUCACGGGGCUAAGCAUAACACCGAAGCGGCGGACUAAUCUAUAUUAGUGGUAGGGGAGCUUUCCCCGCAGCGGAGAAGCCGAGAGGGCGACCCUCGGUGGAGCGCGGGGAAGUGAGAAUGCUGGCAUGAGUAACGAGACCAGGGCGAGAAACCCUGGCGCCGUGAGCCUAAGGGUUCCUGGGCGAGGCUAAUCCCCCCAGGGUCAGUCGGGAGCUAAGGCGAGGCCGAGAGGCGUAGCCGAUGCGCAACAGGCGGACAUUCCUGUACCGCCUGCGGACCGCUAUCACCGACGGGGUGACGGAGAAGGGUAGCCGAGCGGGGUUCUGGACGUCCCCGUGAAAGCGCGUAGGGCGGCACGCAUGGAAAUCAGCGAUGCCACGAAGCCUGAGACGCGAGACGAAGCGACUGAGCGAAGCCGGUGAGCCCAUGCUUCCGAGAAAAACCUCUAGGAAGGGACGCAGGCGCCCGUACCAAAACCGACACAGGUGGGCAGGUAGAGCAUACCGAGGCGAUCGGGAGAACCAUGGUUAAGGAACUCGGCAUACUGACUCCGUAACUUCGGGAGAAGGAGUGCCCCUGGCGGUGGAGGGACUAGCUCCCCGAGCGGCCGGGGGUCGCAGCGAAACGGCCCAAGCGACUGUUUAUCAAAAACACAGGACUCUGCAAAGCCGUAAGGCGACGUAUAGGGUCUGACGCCUGCCCGGUGCUGGAAGGUUACGCGGAUGGGUCAGCCGAAAGGCGAAGCUCUGAAGCCAAGCCCCAGUAAACGGCGGCCGUAACUAUAACGGUCCUAAGGUAGCGAAAUUCCUUGUCGGGUAAGUUCCGACCUGCACGAAUGGCGUAACGAUUUGGGCGCUGUCUCAACCAUGGACCCGGUGAAAUUGUAUUAUUCGUGAAGAUGCGAAUUACCUGCGGAAGGACGGAAAGACCCCGUGAACCUUUACUGCAGCUUGACAUUGAUCGUUGGCUCGGCGCGUAGAGGAUAGGCAGGAGGCUGCGAAGCCCGGGCGCCAGCCCGGGCGGAGCCGACCUUGGAAUACUGCCCUCGUCGCGUCGGCGAUCUAACCCCCGGCCGUGAUCCGGCGGGGGGACCGUGUCAGGCGGGUAGUUUGACUGGGGCGGUCGCCUCCCAAAACGUAACGGAGGCGCGCAAAGGUCCGCUCAGAACGGUCGGCAACCGUUCGCAGAGCGCAAGAGUACAAGCGGGCUUGACUGCGAGGCGUACAGGCCGAGCAGAGACGAAAGUCGGUUCUAGUGAUCCGGCGGCACAGAGUGGAAUGGCCGUCGCUCAACGGAUAAAAGGUACUCCGGGGAUAACAGGCUGAUCUUGCCCAAGAGUCCACAUCGACGGCAAGGUUUGGCACCUCGAUGUCGGCUCAUCGCAUCCUGGGGCUGAAGUCGGUCCCAAGGGUAUGGCUGUUCGCCAUUUAAAGCGGUACGCGAGCUGGGUUCAGAACGUCGUGAGACAGUUCGGUCCCUAUC
This 2207-nucleotide ribosomal RNA is filed under the name human gut metagenome. Its description in RNAcentral is "bacterial LSU rRNA". It matches the Rfam family "Bacterial large subunit ribosomal RNA", at positions 446 to 2642 of the family's 2925-position model. The record is from RNAcentral.